UUUAUCAAUCGGACGCUGGAGAUAACUCAAGGUACAAUGUCAACGGUCAUCCCGUCAACUGAUUUCUAGUUAUAUUUUUGCCAAAUUCUCUUAAUAAUCAUCAAUGGCUUCUUCUGCUUCAACUAUUUAUCAUCACACGAAAAUGUCUCUGAUAAAUCGAAGGUUUGCAGUUAUAGGCUUGAUUGUCCUGCUGAGCUUUACUGUCUUCAGUGAAGCUGAAGCAUCAUAUGGAGUUUACAAAGUCAAAGUCAUCAACGAAUUCCCUCACGACCCCGAAGCUUACACUCAGGGGCUUCUCUAUGCAGAAAAUAACACACUCUUUGAAUCAACUGGACUCUACGGACGUUCAUCUGUUCGAAAAGUUGCGCUGCUGAACGGUAAGGUUGAAACUAUUCAUGAAAUGCAGUCUUCUGACUUUGGGGAAGGUUUAACUCUUCUUGGUGAGAGGUUGUUCCAACUAACAUGGUUGCAGGAUACCGGUUUCAUAUAUGAUCGAUACAACUUUAGCAAAUUCAAAAAGUUUACUCAUCACAUGCAAGAUGGUUGGGGAUUGGCAACUGAUGGGAAAGUGCUUUUUGGAAGUGAUGGAACAUCAACAUUAUAUAAGAUUGACCCUAAGACGAUGAAAGUUGUCAGAAAACAAAUUGUCAAGUCUAAAGGGCAUGAAGUGAGCUACCUCAAUGAGCUGGAGUAUGUGAAAGAUGAAGUCUGGGCAAAUGUCUAUAUGACUGAUUGCAUUGCUAGAAUUUCACCAAAAGAUGGCACUGUGAUCGGGUGGAUUUUCCUUCAAUCUCUAAGGGAAGAUUUAAUAUCAAGAGGCUAUAAGGACUUUGAGGUCCUGAAUGGAAUCGCAUGGGACAGAGAUAGUGACCGGAUUUUUGUGACAGGGAAAUUAUGGCCAAAGAUAUUCGAGAUCAAGUUGCUCCCCCUCCCACCAAAUGCUCCAUUAAUUGGAGAAAUCAAUAACUUGUGCAUCCCAGAAGCAUUCUAUCUUGGAAAAUUAGAGAGCUGAUUAUGUUUAUCCUUUCUCAUGUAAAGUAUCAGUGGGGAAAGGACAAUCAAUUUUCUUAUCAGGCAACAGAGCACACGGCUGAGGACUGACUUUGCUAGAAACACCUUGUAUAUUACUGCAGUUCCAUUGUAGUUUCUUAGCAUGUUCUGACAACUCGAUGGCCACAUUUGAUAUGCAAAUUCCAUUGAAGGAAGUGCUUUCGGAUCAUAAUGAUCGUCAGGAUGAGACCCAUAAUCGCCCGUCAUCCAAAAGCAGUUUUGAUCCUCAGUCCUGAUUCAGAACUAAUUGCUGCAAUGUUUUCAGCUCUAACAUCUUGAAUGCCACCGGACAUUUCGCUUCCGAGAGCAAUGACUGCACUAUCAGGAGAUAUGCAGGUGAGGUUUCUUAUGAUUAGGUGCUUUGUAGGCAUUCCAAAUGAUAUUCCAUAUUCAUCCCAACCACUUUUCACUGCUAUGCAAUCAUCCCCUGAGACUAUGAAGCAAUCUUCAAUUCUUGUGUUGGAACAAGAAUCUGCACAACCAAAAAUGAAUAGGUAACUACUUCACUAGAGGAUGUCGUUUUCUCACAUAUUUACUGGCGUCUGUUCUUGUGACAAACCUGGGUCGAUUCCAUCUGUGUUUGGUGAAUCAAUUGGUGCUAGGAUUGUUAAUCCCUUAAUUACCACAAAACUGCAAUUUUUGAAGAAAGAAGAAUUAGAAUCAAAGAGUACAUAUCAAAGUAAGUUAAGAAGCACCGCUAGGGAGUGUGGUGGGAUGAUAAGAUCUCAGCACCCUUAACCAGAUGCCUAGUUCGUCCCUUGAGAAUGGAGAAACUCCUGGUAGGCAGGUUUUCCUUUAGUGGGCUCCACGUGGCACAAAUCCAAAGAUGGCCACGCGAAUUAUAAAAGGAUAUGAUAUAAAUAAAUGAGAGGAACAAGAAAGCAAACCUGCUGUAAACAGGAUGGACAUUCCAUGAAGGAGAAUUGAUCAAUGUAAGAUUGGAAAUCUGAACAUGAUCAGAAAACAUGAUCUCAAUCAGGUAAGGUCGGGUGCUUUUCAGUUGACCUUGUCGAAAUUUAGUCCACCACUGUUGGCCUUGACCAUCUAUGGUGCCAUUUCCACCUAAUCAUCAUCAGCAUACAUAUAAAACAAUUAACAUUGUUGGCAUUAGUGUCUGAAGUAUUAUGGAUCCAAACAGAGGAUUUGUGAUAUUGAGGAUUCAUACGUCCAAUCCCAAUUAGCUUCAGACUGAGGCGUAGUAAUUGUUGUACUUGGCAUAUUAUUUUGUCUUGAUAGUACAAAGAGGAUAUUUACCUGUAAUGACUACAUCAGUCAAGUUUGUUCCAAAAAUGAGACUGAUAAACCUUGGUCCUGGAGUAUCUCUUCCUACUCCAUAAGAUGGCAAUGGUGGAACUAAAUCCCACUCUGCCUCAUCCUGUACAAACAAUCACAUAUGUGUAUUCUAACAACAAGUGUUGCAUCUUAAGUAAAGUUAAGAAUUUCGUUAAGUUUAUCCAAGAUUCAUUAUAUAUGUAUAAAACAGUAAAGUUUGAUCUAUAUAAUUAGUAUGUGGCUA
Molecule: RNA transcript, 2566 nt
Organism: Solanum dulcamara
Lineage: Eukaryota; Viridiplantae; Streptophyta; Magnoliopsida; Solanales; Solanaceae
Gene name: glutaminyl-peptide cyclotransferase-like
Exons: 14
Source: RefSeq, a predicted model, not a curated record